Acanthosepion pharaonis is the source of this 112-nucleotide non-coding RNA. The record is from the annotation of a GenBank genome assembly. Lineage: Eukaryota; Metazoa; Mollusca; Cephalopoda; Sepiida; Sepiidae.
AUGGCCAUCUCACAUUGAAACAAUAGUUCCUGUAUGAUCACUGAAGUUAAGCAACAUUGAGCCUGGUCAGUACAUAAAUGGGUGACCAAUUGGGAAGACCAGGUGCUGUAAG